Molecule: ribosomal RNA, 478 nt
Filed under: uncultured organism
Description: partial 16S ribosomal RNA
Rfam family: Bacterial small subunit ribosomal RNA
Source: RNAcentral
GUACACUCCUGCGGGAGGCAGCAGUGGGGAAUUUUGGACAAUGGGCGAAAGCCUGAUCCAGCAAUGCCGCGUGUGUGAAGAAGGCCUUCGGGUUGUAAAGCACUUUUGUCCGGAAAGAAAUCCUUGGCUCUAAUACAGUCGGGGGAUGACGGUACCGGAAGAAUAAGCACCGGCUAACUACGUGCCAGCAGCCGCGGUAAUACGUAGGGUGCGAGCGUUAAUCGGAAUUACUGGGCGUAAAGCGUGCGCAGGCGGUUUGCUAAGACCGAUGUGAAAUCCCCGGGCUCAACCUGGGAACUGCAUUGGUGACUGGCAGGCUAGAGUAUGGCAGAGGGGGGUAGAAUUCCACGUGUAGCAGUGAAAUGCGUAGAGAUGUGGAGGAAUACCGAUGGCGAAGGCAGCCGCCUGGGCCAAUACUGACGCUCAUGCACGAAAGCGUGGGGAGCAAACAGGAGUAGAAACCCCAGUAGUCCCAUGA